This 928-nucleotide long non-coding RNA is filed under the name Bos indicus x Bos taurus (hybrid cattle). RNAcentral describes it as "lncRNA (ENSBIXG00005025922.1)". Lineage: Eukaryota; Metazoa; Chordata; Mammalia; Artiodactyla; Bovidae. The record is from RNAcentral.
AUGUUUCAACCAAAUGGACAAAAGCAGCAAGGCACAGAAAACUGUCAAAAGAUCAGGAAGAUACCUCAGUACAUUGCAAGUUUCCUGAGCAGGAGACAUACAUCCUGCAGAAGUGUGCCUUGGAGACUCAAAGGAGGAGAAAUUAAGCCAGUUGUGGAUGACUUGGAUAUCUUACACUGCAUGUCUUCAGCAUUCAUAGAGACCUAUGUCUGCAGGGUCUGUGUGUGUGUGUGUGUGUGUGUGUGUGUGUGUUUGCAUGUGACAUCAUCAUGUUGAGUGUGUGCUCACAUGUGUAUGGCUCUGUUGUCUGUGUGUCUUUAGAGAGGAAGGAAGAGAGUGAAGUCAGAGCAGACGGAAUGUUGGGGCAUUUAUGUAAUUCAUGCAGAGACUGUUCAACGCUGCAAGGCAGACAGCCACCCAUUCCUGGACUCUGCUGCUCUGGAGGGCCUGUCCGGACCUGAUCUGAAUGUUAAAUGCAGGAGAUGAAAUUAGCAUACUAACCAAGAAUGUCAACCCCUCCCUGCAAUCAGUAAAUGGCCGUCUCCUCUCUUUCAAGCCGGCACCGCUACGCGCGCCAGCCACUUAACCAUGUCCUCUGUCAGGUCCCUUUUUGUGUUUGUUUUUUUGUUUUUGUUUUUUGAUGAAAGACUGGAAAUUCAUUAAUGAGGAGGGAAGGAAGGGCUUCAAGGGGCUGUAAUGAAAACAAAUGAUCCUCUUUAAAUCUCAUGUCGGCCAAAGCUGAGGUUGGGGGGGGUGGGUGUUGCUUUCUGUUUUGGGGCUGGAGAAUAGGAAAUUCCACAGACAACAGACCACUUGACAAGAGCCCAAGAAUGCACUGCUUGGGAAUUUCUUCUAUGUCGCAAAGACCGGCCAUGGCCAGUAAGUCUGUGUUAAUAAAACUGAGAAUGAGCUUUAUCUUCUGAACUGU